UGGGGAAUANNNNNCAAUGGGGGGAACCCUGAUGCAGCAACGCCGCGUGAGUGAAGAAGGCAUUCGUGUCGUAAAACUCUGUAGUAGGGGAAGAAAGAAAUGACAGUACCCUAAAAGAAAGCCCCGGCUAACUACGUGCCAGCAGCCGCGGUAAUACGUAGGGGGCAAGCGUUAUCCGGAAUAACUGGGCGUAAAGGGUGCGCAGGUGGUUUAACAAGUUAGUGGUGAAAGGCAUAGGCUCAACCAAUGUAAGCCAUUAAAACUGCUUAACUUGAGUGCAGGAGAGGAAAGUGGAAUUCCUAGUGUAGCGGUGAAAUGCGUAGAUAUUAGGAGGAAUACCAGUGGCGAAGGCGACUUUCUGGACUGCAACUGACACUGAGGCACGAAAGCGUGGGGAGCAAACAGGAUUAGAUACCCUGGUAGUCCACGCCGUAAACGAUGAGUACUAGGUGUCGGGUGAAGAACUCGGUGCCGAAGUUAACACAUUAAGUACUCCGCCUGGGGAGUACGCUCGCAAGAGUA
Molecule: ribosomal RNA, 522 nt
Filed under: uncultured bacterium
Lineage: Bacteria
Description: bacterial SSU rRNA
Rfam family: Bacterial small subunit ribosomal RNA
Source: RNAcentral